This 7034-nucleotide long non-coding RNA is filed under the name Eutrema salsugineum. RNAcentral describes it as "long non-coding RNA (ESAL_LNC002143)". Lineage: Eukaryota; Viridiplantae; Streptophyta; Magnoliopsida; Brassicales; Brassicaceae. The record is from RNAcentral.
UGAACAAAGAACAACACUUAUAAGAAUUAAAGCAGAAAGAAAAAUAUGGGGAAAGUUUCUAAACGAUUUGGUCUUUUGGGUUUGAUGCUUGUGUUGCUCAUCAUUGGAGCAGCGGAAUGUAGGAGACUCGAGAAGGAGACUUUGGUAGUGGUGCUGGAGGAGGCCGUGGUGGUGUAUUUUGAAUUCAGCUUUAUAGUGUUACUUGUGUACCACGCCACAGAAAAGAAAAAGGAAGAGAUUACAUUUUGCUAUUAGUAUUGAAUGAAAUGAGUGAUACUGAAAAAGAAGUAUUAAAUAUUCGAUGUUCAUGACUUCACUCUAAUGAACAGAUCUCAUACUCCAAUAAGAAGAAUGAAAAAGAUUGGUUAGUAGUUUUAUUUUUUUAAUAUGAACAGCAAUCUGGUGAAGAUGAUAAAGCUCUUUCCUUUGAAAACAAGAACCGCAACAGCAAUCUUAGCAUAAUCAUAACCUAAUAUUGCACUAAAGCAUCGCUUAUCACAUCAUCGUUAUUCUUGGUUUCCAUAAUCAACCUCAAUUCUAAAUAUGGUCAAUGGUUGAUACUCUUGCUUUCAGCCUUCUUCACAAUCGACGUUUUCUUCUUCUGCUUCUGCCUCCAAAUUCAAGUCCAGCUUUUCUGCAAAUGAAGUCACAUUAAAGGAACUUAUCUGAGUAUCACGUAAUCGGUAAUCCUUAUAUAAUCAUGAGACCUAAUCUCUUUCUUAAUGGUUUAUGGCCCACUAAUAUAGUAAAAAUAUGACCAUGUCUUAAUUGUUGAAAGCUCUGCAUAUUAAAACUCAAACAGACCUACAACAGAAGGCUGUGGAUUCUUGCUGAUUCGGCUUUUCAGCUACCUCUUGCUGCUUCAUUUGAGCGGCGUAAUAAGGUUUGCGAUACUGCAAAAUGGAAACAACAUGUAUCAAUAUUCGGGAAACAGUACACAAUCCAAACGAUGCUACUGUGGGAAUCUAAGUAAACACAAAUAAAUUUUACACAAAAGGCAUACCCUCAUAUACUUAUCAUCAUCGCCUGGUUUCUUGUCAUCUGAAAGUCCUUGUGAGCCACCAACAAGCUUUGCUCCUUGUCUCAUCUCUCCUCUUUGUUCCUCGGUCAGAUACAUUCCUUGCAUACGUUGAGACAAGCAUUGCUUAACCCUCUCUGGAGUCGUCAUCAUCCAUGGAGGCAAGACUUUCCGCCUCGAUUUGACAUAUUUUUUUCUUUCAGCAAGGUAAGCCUUAGCCUAACAAUGUAAGAUUCAUGAAAUCAAUUAGAGAAGGAAAAUGCAGGAAAAACGUGAAGCAUUUAUCAGACAUUUGAGUAAACUUGUUCCUCGUUUAGGGUUUCAUAAGAUUCACUAGCACACUCACCUAUAGAAUAGGAGAAAACAAAAGGGGAAAUUUCGUUACAAGCAUUGCCUCAUCUUCCAUAAUAACAUUGAACUUCUAUCUAUAUACAUUGACUGAGAGAUUAUUACCUAACCUACCUACAAAAUCUCAAUUUUUUUACCAGGAAUCUUAUAAACCUAAAGGAGAUAGAUUUUACAUUCAAAUCACAUUCCUAACAAAUCAUCAUCAUCACCACUUCUUAAUGAAGUGUCUGUAACAAAGAAAAAGAAAGAACCUGAUCAAGCUGAAGCUGGUCAUCAGCCGAGACGGUGGCGCCACGUUCAAUGUCGAGAUGGUUUAGCUUCGGCCGUUUCUGCUUCUCGGCUCGAUCGUGUCUCUUCAGAGACGCCGGAGGAGGACACUGUUGAGUGGAAAAACAAAACUCUGUAAAAUCGUUUGGAGAAAACAAAAGGCGGAAUUUCGUUACAAUCAUUGAUCCCUAAAAACAAAAUCUCAACUUUACAAGGAAUCCAAAAACCUAAGGAGAAACUAUCAUUCUGAUGAUACUCGAAAUUCCCAAAUUCUAAAAACCAACGAUUUGAGCAGCGUGAGACUAAAAUACAGACCUUAAUCUGAGCUUCAAUGGCGUCAAUCCUUCUGACUCUCUGAGAAGCUUCAAUGGCUUCGCGUUGCUUUUGCGCAGCGACCUUGGCUUUCCUCUCUCGUUCGAGCUUCAGUUUCCCCCUUUCCUUCCUCUCUCUGUGCUCUCUCUCAAGCUUCUCCUUCGCCAAUCUAAACGCGGAAUCCAUCUUCGACACACUUCGGAAUCUCAAGGUAGGCUCGGUGAAAAGUGAAAACACAAAUUAAUUAAAGAAAAACAAAAUUAGGUUUUGAGGAAAAAGGAAACACCUUUAUUCUCUCUUAAUUGCUCUUCAAGGAAAAAUAAAUAAAUUCACUAUAAAUACAUCUUCCUAAAACCUUAAGCCGGAAAAUUUAUUAGGUCUCUCUCUAUACUCUCUCGAAAAGCCGCUUCCUUUUUCCUUCUCUUCUCCACGGUCAUGGAAUCCGCCACCACAGUAUAAUCUUCUUCCUCCUUAUGGCUUUCUUACUCUGUCUUAAACCUCUGUUCCUGUUUCUUCUACAACUUUUUAUCCGACCUUGUUUAUGUUUUUGGGGUUUUUUUUUUCAGGUUGAAGCAGUUCCUGCUGUGAUUGAGGCUACAACGAAGCCUUUGAACAAAGGUAAGGACUUUGGUUUCUUUUCGGUCUGAUUAUCUAAAAAUGUGUUUAACCCAUCAAGUUCAUGCGUUUUUGGGAACAAAAGAAGCGUUUUUUGUCUCAAGUAGUUCGUGAAUCUUCAUUUAUAAGGCCUUUUGCUGUUGAGAUUAGAGGUUUUUGUGCUUGUAGAGUUUGUUGAUUUUGACAUUUGUAUUUGCUGCUUUUCUUAAGUGUCUUCGGAUGAUUUGGAGACCAAAGUGAAUCUAGAGAGUCAGAAUAAAGAAUCUGAGGAGAUGCCUAAGGAGGUGAAGAAUACCUUGUCCUUAUUUCUCUCCUAUUGCAGAUACUGUAUAUUGCAUUACUGUUUGCUGAUAGAAUUACUCUAUUUCUGCUGUAUGAUGUAAAAAUGGGUGGAUGCUGAGCAGAAAAUCAGAUGCUAAUGCUAACAUCGUAGCUGCUAUAAGUCUCUUUCUUUCUGGUUAACUAUGUUUUGAAGUUAAUAUUUGUGUAUCAUGAUUUGACUUUCAGCCACAGCCACCAAAGCCUACAACUACUGGAGGAUCAAGGACACUCUUUGUUAGCAAUCUCCCAUUCCAAGUUGAAAAAUCAGAUAUGUAAGUAUAGCACCAUCCUCUCUCGUUGUUUUUCUGGCAGCUAUUCCAUUGACCUUAAAUAAUAUUGUUAUAUAUCCUCCAUUUAUGUACAGCGAGUUCUUCUUCAAAGAAGCUGGCGAGGUCGUUGAUGUUAGACUUGCCAUGCCAGAAGAUGAUGGCAUUUUCAGGGGCUUUGGCUUUGUUGACUUUGCUUCUUCUGAAGAAGCAGAGAGGGUGAGAGAGUAGUUUUUUCUUUUCUUUUUUUUUUUUUUUUUUUGUCUUUACAAUUGACGAGAGACAUUUGAGAAAGUAAUGAUUACUGAUUAAGAUGUUUCUCUACUUGAAAGGCGCUGGAAUUUCACGGUAGACCUUUGCUCGGUCGUGAAAUUAUUCUUCAGUUGCACCUUCCAGAGGUGUAAACACUCCACAAAGCGGGUAAAAACUGAACCUUUGUUUCCAAUUGUUUGUGUAAGUAUGUUCUUGUGUUGACACUUGAUAGUAAUCUUAGCAGCAUUACCAGAGACGGAGACGGCGUGAAAGGAGCGUAAAGUCUAGUUCCAAGGGAGAAUCAAUCAAGGAUAACUGAAGAUAAUAAAUAAUUAAGGAGUUAUUAAUUAGUCUAAUUAUGAUUUAACUGUUGCUAUUUAGUAUUUCCAUUGUCUGGUUUUUUUUCUUAGCUUCUCUCUAUAUUACGUUUUAUCCUUUAUGCAAGGGGUCAAUUGAGUAUUCAGAAUUCAGGAGUAUUUUUAAAAAGAAGAUAGACAAUAUUUCAGUUUCUCCUUGGUGUGUGUGUAUAUUAUGAAAAUAAAAUGCUAAGAACAACAAUAUAAUGUCUCAAUAUUCUAAAGCCAGCUACAUUAAAUUGGCAUAUCAAUAUUAUCAUAAGUUAAAUUAAACAAUUAAGUAGAUAUAUAGAUCAAAACGCAACUGGUCCAACUUCAUGUGAAGGGUUUUCAUAAUGGCAAAUGUUUACACAUGAGCAAGUGCGAACGCUUAAAGCGUGUAAACCUUUGUACAAAUAUUACCCUGGAUAUGAGGGUGCCAUACUUGACGUAGACUUCGAUUUGAGGAAUUGGGAAGGAGACAAACUUCUUUAAGUCUCAUGAUCUAGUUCGUCUAUAAAUGCUUCUUGUAUCAAAUAAGCCAUAUAUUUUCAAGGGUCCGAGUAGAAUGUAGCCUUACCCAUAAAGUUGUCUAUCAUCUAUACCUUUAGUAGCAAUAAUGUUGUCUAAUUGAACUAAAUUACACAUCUAUAAGAGUCACAAAACUAAACAAAAGGGAAACAUCCGCAAAUAAAAGCAUGUCAAUUCUCUUUCAAUCAUCUUUCUACACGUUAAAGCCAAUGGCUACCUUCUUUUCCCAAACUCAAGAGCAUUUCCCUUCAAUAUAUUUUGAUUUCUCGAAACUAAAUUACUGAACCAACCCGAAUGAAAGGAAAAAUUCUUCAUUUGAAAUUUGUUACGUGCUCAAAAAAAGAGGCACACGAAAACAAACCCCAGUUUGCCUAAUACUCUUCCUGAUUUUUACUCUGUAGUCAAGGUAACUAUUAAAUUUGUCGGCAGAUCAUAAUGAUAACGAUUUGUGGAUGGAUAUAAACUGCAUGAUUAUGAUAAAAGAAGAUCAAAUGAAAAUAUACCAAGUGGUAAAAGUAGUUGAGACGCUGAAAAAGAAAAAGAGAAGAAUCUUAAUUAAUUUGUUUCCAAAUCCAUGUUGAAUUUCACGUCACCUUUUUUUCACAAUGAGAUGCUCGUUUUAUUCGUUUCUACUACUCAUAUAUCAUAUAGAAUCCUUCUAUACUUAUCCUUGCAAUUCAUACAUUGUAGAAAAAUCAUAAACUAAGUGUAAUAACGUUAAAAAACAACAACCAAAGUAUAAAUCUUGAUGAGAAGUUCUUUUGAUUUAUAUUUAUGUUAUCAGUUUCGUUGUUCUUAGAAUCUUAGUUUUCAUCAUUGUAUUAAACUUCUUCAUGAUUGGAAUGUAAAAGCUUAACAAAUGAUUUAAUUAGCAUUGCACGUAUCAACUUAGAGAUUUGUGCGUAAAUAAGCUUGGUGGCGGUAUAUUUGAUUAUUUUCUAUGGGUUUUAUAACAUUAUACUGCACUAACAUAAAUAAGCUAAUUAUUAGAUCUUGAAAACAUCUUGGAAAACAUAUUUAGAUUUCUGCACACGAAAACGACAUAAAUCAAGUUAUAUAUAUACUGUCAUGAUUCUCAUGAAUUACUCUAAUUUGUAAUUUUGUUUCGAAAUAAAAGUUCGUAAGACAUUCCCCUACAUUAGGCUUUUGACUUUUCGGUGAUAAAAAUACUCUAGACACACUAAAAAUAUACUGUUUAGCUUAAUUCAAGGAAAUGGUAGGGUUGAAAAGUAUGAUAGGAAUACAAUUUGAAAAAGGAACACUUGCUCAGUACUCAUUAAUCAAAGAUUGAGAGAUUAGGAUAAAAAUAUAAAGUUAUAAACCCAAUGGUUAAGUAGUUGAAAAGCUGAAUAAAGAUAGUAAUCUUAAUUAAUUCCACCACCUGCCCAUACCCUACGGUUGAAAUUUUUCUUCACCUUUUUAUUUCGAAAUGAGAUGUUCUUUAAAUUGUGGUUUAGAAAGAAAAUGGUUACUAACAAAGAGAUGCCCUUCGAUUUGGAAAAUAGCAUGAAAACAACUGAAUUACAAAUCCUGAGUACUGCCUUUUACUUGAUAUUAUUCUAUCUUCUUUGUUGUUCUCAAAAUCUUAUGGUUUUUUUUUUUUGAAACGUAAAUCUUGUGAGUUCAUGUCAUGUUUGGACUGUAAACGCUUUCUUAACCAAUUAUUUAGCACUCCUGUUUUUCUAAUGCAUGUUAUGACUGCUAAGAAAAUAAUUUGUGAAAUUAAAUUGUGCAUAAAAUAAUUAUUAUAUAUAUAUUAUCUUGAAAGAAAUAAACAUAAGUAAACGUUUAUAAUCGAUUUUUAAAAUGUACAUUGCGAGCCAUUAUGUUUAAAUAUGGAUAUGAUGAUAUGGUUUCUCUAACAAAUAUAAUAAAACUUGACUAGGACAUGAGGUAAGAAAAACCUAACUAAGACCUGUAGCGAUAGUUUGUGUUUGUGCUGUCAUCUAUAUUCAAGCUUCCCUAACGUAGGUUGAUGACAAACCAAAACAAGAAUAUUAUACUUACAGAUUCAUUCAUAGUUAAAUAAAUAAGCUUAGAGAAUUUUUUUGAGAUUUUAUAAAACUAAUUUGGAUCAACAAAAAUAAACAUAUAUAUUUUUUGUUGUUUUUUUGUGCUAAUGAUAAACAUAUACACACACCUUGGAAAACAUAUUUAUACAUAUAGUCAUUAGUUAAAUACUCUUUUUAUGUUGCAAAUUUGUUUUGAAAUCAAAGUUCGUAAACUAUUUCACAUGUCAAACUCUUUCUUUAGUCGGUGAUAAAAGUAGCACAACGUAAUUUUGCUAUGAUUAAAGAAGUUUAUAAAGUUGAAAAGUAAGCUCGGAAUACAAUUAAAAAGGGAACACUUGCUCAGCACCAUUAAAGACCCUGAAGAAAAUUGUAGCAUCACAGAUUGCGAAAUAUUGAGGAAUAGUGUAUGAGAAAUUCAAUUAAACUACUGUGUGAUCAGUGAUGAUUGAUGAAGGCCCCAACCAAUUCUAAUUAAUGCUAAUCUUUGUUUGCGCCUAUAAAUAAAAUUAGCAGAGUAAGGUGAGUAACACUGAACAAAGAACAACAUUUGAAAAAUAUAAGAAAUAAAAAAAAUGGGGAAAGUAUCUAAACGAUUAGUGUUCUUGGGUUUUGAUGCUUGUAGUGCUCAUUAUUGGAGUUGCGGAAUGUAGGAGACUUGAGAAGGAGACUUUGGGAGGCGGUGGUUUUGGAGGAGGUGGCGGAUUUGGUGGUGGAAAGGCGGUGGUGGUUGUGUUGGAGGAAGAGCUGGUGGCGGUGC